This 72-nucleotide transfer RNA is filed under the name Cnemaspis kandiana. RNAcentral describes it as "tRNA-Trp". Lineage: Eukaryota; Metazoa; Chordata; Lepidosauria; Squamata; Gekkonidae. The record is from RNAcentral.
AGAAACUUAGGUUGCACCAAACCAAGAGCCUUCAAAGCCCUAAACAAGAAUAAUCAAACAUCUUAGUUUCUG